Molecule: long non-coding RNA, 705 nt
Filed under: Brassica rapa (field mustard)
Lineage: Eukaryota; Viridiplantae; Streptophyta; Magnoliopsida; Brassicales; Brassicaceae
Description: long non-coding RNA (BRAP_LNC001993)
Source: RNAcentral
UUAAAUGCAUUUAUCAUUCAUCAUUUUAAUGUUUCUACUUAUCUUAUGGAUUAUUUGAUUGCCAAGUUCAGUAAGUAAAUUUUGUACGACUUUGUUAAUGUUACAAACCCAUUAUCUCUAUCGAACUAACAUACUUUUUUUUAUCUUGAUUACCACUGCUCAGAUAUGUGAUGUUUGAUCGAUCACCAAUCACCAAUCACCAUCCUAUUCUCCAGGUGGGCGUGCUUGAUGGCCAUUAGUGAAGCUCUGUCAAGAACGACUGUAGUGGAAAAUGAAUUUUUGAAUGAGUACGAAGGUGGUGGAAAAUAUAGCAUCGGUGAUCAUGGUUAUUGCUACAGCUGUGGUGGUGGUUGAUACGCGAAAUCAUAUAUAACUAUAUAUACUUCAAAUGUAUUUAUUUUUAGUUUUAUCUAUGUUCUAAGUUUAGUUAUCUAAUUAUUUAAUUUUAUUGUGUAUAUCAUGAUUAUCUGGCAUGUUUGAUGGCUUGGAACACAGUUUUGUUUAUUUGUUAUAUUUAAUUUUUCUCAUUGAUCAUAUAUAAAAAAAUACAUAAUUUCUCAAAAAAUGAUAAAGCCUGGUCAAAAGUUAAAAGUAUUUUUUUGUGUAACAUAGGAGAUAAUUGUUUUUUUUUUUGUAAUGUGACAGAGAAGAUAAUUGAUAUUUUGUGUGUGUAUAAAGCCUAGAUUAACUUAAAGUAUUUUUUGA